GACGAACGCUGGCGGCGUGCUUAACACAUGCAAGUCGAACGGUGACCCAGGGCUUGCCCUGGUGAUCAGUGGCGAACGGGUGAGUAACACGUGGGCAACCUGCCCCUGACUUCGGGAUAACUCCUCGAAAGAGGAGCUAAUACCGGAUACGACCACUUCGGACAUCCGAUGGUGGUGGAAAGUUUUUUCGGUCAGGGAUGGGCCCGCGGCCUAUCAGCUAGUUGGUGGGGUAAUGGCCUACCAAGGCGACGACGGGUAGCCGGCCUGAGAGGGCGACCGGCCACACUGGGACUGAGACACGGCCCAGACUCCUACGGGAGGCAGCAGUGGGGAAUAUUGCGCAAUGGGCGAAAGCCUGACGCAGCGACGCCGCGUGAGGGAUGAAGGCCUCGGGUUGUAAACCUCUUUCAGCAGGGACGAAGCGAAAGUGACGGUACCUGCAGAAGAAGACACCGGCUAACU
Molecule: ribosomal RNA, 462 nt
Filed under: uncultured bacterium
Lineage: Bacteria
Description: bacterial SSU rRNA
Rfam family: Bacterial small subunit ribosomal RNA
Source: RNAcentral